CCCUACGGGGCGCAGCAGGCGCGAAAACUUUACAAUGCGGGAAACCGUGAUAAGGGAACUCCGAGUGCCCGUUAAAUCGGGCUGUCCAUCUGUGUAAAUAACAGGUGAAGAAAGGGCCGGGCAAGACCGGUGCCAGCCGCCGCGGUAAUACCGGCGGCUCGAGUGGUGGCCACUAUUACUGGGCUUAAAGCGUUCGUAGCUGGUUUGUUAAGUCUCUGGGGAAANCUUCCGGCUUAACCGGAAGGCGUCUCAGGGAUACUGGCAGACUAGGGACCGGAAGAGGUGAGGGGUACUCCAGGGGUAGGAGUGAAAUCCUGUAAUCC
Molecule: ribosomal RNA, 323 nt
Filed under: uncultured archaeon
Lineage: Archaea
Description: bacterial SSU rRNA
Rfam family: Archaeal small subunit ribosomal RNA
Source: RNAcentral